AGAGUUUGAUCAUGGCUCAGGACGAACGCUGGCGGCGUGCUUAACACAUGCAAGUCGAACGGAAAGGCCCUUCGGGGUACUCGAGUGGCGAACGGGUGAGUAACACGUGGGUGAUCUGCCCUGCACUUUGGGAUAAGCCUGGGAAACUGGGUCUAAUACCGAAUAUGACCAUGCGCCUCCUGGUGUGUGGUGGAAAGCUUUUGCGGUGUGGGAUGGGCCCGCGGCCUAUCAGCUUGUUGGUGGGGUAAUGGCCUACCAAGGCGACGACGGGUAGCCGGCCUGAGAGGGUGACCGGCCACACUGGGACUGAGAUACGGCCCAGACUCCUACGGGAGGCAGCAGUGGGGAAUAUUGCACAAUGGGCGCAAGCCUGAUGCAGCGACGCCGCGUGAGGGAUGACGGCCUUCGGGUUGUAAACCUCUUUCAGCACAGACGAAGCGCAAGUGACGGUAUGUGCAGAAGAAGGACCGGCCAACUACGUGCCAGCAGCCGCGGUAAUACGUAGGGUCCGAGCGUUGUCCGGAAUUACUGGGCGUAAAGAGCUCGUAGGUGGUUUGUCGCGUUGUCCGUGAAAACUCACAGCUUAACUGUGGGCGUGCGGGCGAUACGGGCAGACUUGAGUACUGCAGGGGAGACUGGAAUUCCUGGUGUAGCGGUGGAAUGCGCAGAUAUCAGGAGGAACACCGGUGGCGAAGGCGGGUCUCUGGGUAGUAACUGACGCUGAGGAGCGAAAGCGUGGGGAGCGAACAGGAUUAGAUACCCUGGUAGUCC
This 771-nucleotide ribosomal RNA is filed under the name uncultured bacterium. Its description in RNAcentral is "bacterial SSU rRNA". It matches the Rfam family "Bacterial small subunit ribosomal RNA", at positions 8 to 796 of the family's 1533-position model. The record is from RNAcentral.